GGGGUCGUUUGGUUUUGACAGCUUGUGUGUGGAUUUGUAAGCAUGCCGGAUGUUGUGAGACGGUUCCGUUAAAAGCUAACUCUCAUCGCCCAUAAACGGCAACAAUUCUUUUGCUUUUGCAGCGUAAGCUGUAGAAGCUCCGAAGCAUGGUCAAGGACUAUAGCAUCGGAUGUCUCUCCGAAAGCUUCGCCAAUCGGCGUUCGAUUUGAGGCAUCAUAAAUGAUUGGAUAGCGAGCACACUGCCUCAUUGUGUAAGCGAAUUUUUAGAGGUUAAGCUACCGGUUGGUUUGUCAAGUACCUGCCGUCUGCCGACAAGUAAACUUAGACUACGCAUGUAGAAAGCAUCUUUGCAAUAGGUUUGGACGCGGGUUCGACUCCCGCCGGCUCCACAA
RNAcentral lists this transfer-messenger RNA (392 nucleotides) under Bacteroidales bacterium. It matches the Rfam family "transfer-messenger RNA". Rfam says of the family: Bacterial tmRNA, also known as 10Sa RNA or SsrA, is named for its dual tRNA and mRNA-like properties. Its role is to liberate the mRNA from a stalled ribosome. The record is from RNAcentral. Lineage: Bacteria; Pseudomonadati; Bacteroidota; Bacteroidia; Bacteroidales.